This 576-nucleotide small RNA is filed under the name Pan troglodytes (chimpanzee). RNAcentral describes it as "retained intron". The record is from RNAcentral. Lineage: Eukaryota; Metazoa; Chordata; Mammalia; Primates; Hominidae.
AGCUGACUGUGGCGGCGGCGGCCUCGAGGUGACAACUGUCUCUGUCGCAGGCUCCGGCGGGGGCGCAGGAGGUCGCCCGGCGCGUCACUGUCGGGUCGGCGAGCCACGGGGGCCGCCGCAGCACCAUGGCGACCACCGUCAGCACUCAGCGCGGGCCGGUGUACAUCGGUGAGCUCCCGCACGACUUCCUCCGCAUCACGCCCACACAGCAGCAGCGGCAGGUCCAGCUGGACGCCCAGGCGGCCCAGCAGCUGCAGUACGGAGGCGCAGUGGGCACCGUGGGCCGACUGAACAUCACGGUGGUACAGGUGGGCCUUGGGGCACCCUCCUGCCUGCCUGGGGCUGGUGCGCUCGGUGGGGGUGGGAUUGAGGAUUUCGGCGUUUAUACUGCAUUUCCUAAGCGGGCAAACAGAACUUCUGAUUCCCGCUUUUCCUGAAACCUGUGUGAUGUUGAAAACGAUCUGUGUGAAAGAUAUUGGCAUUGACCCCGGGUUCUACCAAACAUAACUCAAGUGAUGAGUAGUGGGUAUAGGUGGGCGUCUGCUCUGUGUAGGGCCUGGCUCUUCCACCCGGCUU